Ceratitis capitata (Mediterranean fruit fly) is the source of this 921-nucleotide long non-coding RNA. RefSeq lists it as uncharacterized. Lineage: Eukaryota; Metazoa; Arthropoda; Insecta; Diptera; Tephritidae. The transcript is spliced from 4 exons. The record is from RefSeq and is a predicted model, not a curated record.
AAAAUAGGCUUGAAAGUUUUUACUUUUAAAAUAUUUUCAGUAGUUUUACUUAACACCCGGAAAAAGUGCAAUAUCCAACUGUUUAUUUAAAUCAGAAUGUGGAAUACAUUUGACUUUUUAGAGAUUUUUUCGCGCUCUCGAAAUUAUUUGCGAAAGAAUAAAAUUUAAAUGGCCGCAACACAAGAAACUGAUUACUAAAACUCUACGAUUGCAUAAUAAAACUAAUGAUUUUCGCAUAAAGACACGCCUCUGAGGCGCAAGAAUACAGUGGCGUGCAGUGGGUGAGGUAGACAGAACGUUUGCAUGGGUUUAUUUUACUUUCUCCAUUAAUUUUGCUAAAAAAAUUUACCAAAUAUUUUUUUCUUGGUUCUAGAUUUUGCGUAUACGCCGUGAUAUGUACAACAUUGAUGAAUAGAAAUUAAAAGGAAAAAAGAAAAAAAAAAAAACAGUUGUCUCUCAACCCCUGCCGUCUCCACCAUUUGCCAACUGUACAACGGACUAUCGCCUCAGUGUCAUGCGUUUUCUGCACUUACUACUCAAGUCCUUGGUUCUCUUCCCAAUUUCGGCCACGCAUUGUGACGCAGAACUAUCAUACAAGCAUCUUUAUCCUUAGCUUUGCGUGCACGAAAUUGAAAACUGAGUAAUAAAUGCCGAUGAACGCAGUGCUACCAAGAAGCGGUGCAACAAUGGAAUGAUGAGACUCAUACAUAUAUAAAUAUUAUAGAUGAAUGAAAUUAAUAUUCAAUGAAAAUGUUAGAAAAUGGUGCGAAGGACGAAAAUUGAGUGAGAACAAUCUACGUAAAAUGAGCACGUUGUGAAGCGCGUAGGCGCCUGAAAAUUUUGAAAAUAAAAAUGUGUUUCUUAUGCCACUGCGUUCUAGGCUUUUUAUUUGAAAUCAAUUAUUUUCGAAAUAUUGUUUUA